UUUCUUUUCAACAAAGUUGUUAUAUAAUUGGUUUUUUCUUCCCUAAUGGGGCGGGGCAUGGAAAUGGUAUACCCACCCCCGAUUCAACCCAUUGCCAUCCCUAAACGAACGAGAUAAAGCCAACCCUCCAUUACUUGAUUACAAUGCGACAUAAAUACCUGGAUUAUCAACAAAUCCACCUCUGUUGUUUCUAUUCCAUGCCUUUGAGGCAUUUUU
This 216-nucleotide long non-coding RNA is filed under the name Prunus persica (peach). Its description in RNAcentral is "long non-coding RNA (PPER_LNC002179)". The record is from RNAcentral. Lineage: Eukaryota; Viridiplantae; Streptophyta; Magnoliopsida; Rosales; Rosaceae.